CGGGACGGGGUGGAGUAAUGUCUGGGAAACUGCCUGAUGGAGGGGGAUAACUACUGGAAACGGUAGCUAAUACCGCAUAACGUCGCAAGACCAAAGAGGGGGACCUUCGGGCCUCUUGCCAUCGGAUGUGCCCAGAUGGGAUUAGCUAGUAGGUGGGGUAACGGCUCACCUAGGCGACGAUCCCUAGCUGGUCUGAGAGGAUGACCAGCCACACUGGAACUGAGACGCGGUCCAG
Molecule: ribosomal RNA, 235 nt
Filed under: uncultured bacterium
Lineage: Bacteria
Description: partial 16S ribosomal RNA
Rfam family: Bacterial small subunit ribosomal RNA
Source: RNAcentral